RNAcentral lists this ribosomal RNA (497 nucleotides) under uncultured bacterium. RNAcentral's name for it is "partial 16S ribosomal RNA". It matches the Rfam family "Bacterial small subunit ribosomal RNA", at positions 28 to 507 of the family's 1533-position model. The record is from RNAcentral.
GACGAACGCUGGCGGCGUGCCUAAUACAUGCAAGUAGAACGCUGAAGCUUGGUGCUUGCACCGAGCGGAUGAGUUGCGAACGGGUGAGUAACGCGUAGGUAACCUGCCUGGUAGCGGGGGAUAACUAUUGGAAACGAUAGCUAAUACCGCAUAAUAGUAGAUGUUGCAUGACAUUUGCUUAAAAGGUGCAAUUGCAUCACUACCAGAUGGACCUGCGUUGUAUUAGCUAGUUGGUGAGGUAACGGCUCACCAAGGCAACGAUACAUAGCCGACCUGAGAGGGUGAGCGGCCACACUGGGACUGGGACACGGCCCAGACUCCUACGGGAGGCAGCAGUAGGGAAUCUUCGGCAAUGGACGGAAGUCUGACCGAGCAACGCCGCGUGAGUGAAGAAGGUUUUCGGAUCGUAAAGCUCUGUUGUAAGAGAAGAACGAGUGUGAGAGUGGAAAGUUCACACUGUGACGGUAUCUUACCAGAAAGGGACGGCUAACUACGUG